ACGAACGCUGGCGGCGUGCCUAAUACAUGCAAGUAGCACGCUGAAGGAGGGGCUUGCUUCUCCGGAUGAGUUGCGAACGGGUGAGUAACGCGUAGGUAACCUGCCUGGUAGCGGGGGAUAACUAUUGGAAACGAUAGCUAAUACCGCAUAAGAGUAGAUGUCGCAUGACAUUUGCUUAAAAGGUGCAACUGCACCACUACCAGAUGGACCUGCGUUGUAUUAGCUAGUUGGUGAGGUAACGGCUCACCAAGGCAACGAUACAUAGCCGACCUGAGAGGGUGAUCGGCCACACUGGGACUGAGACACGGCCCAGACUCCUACGGGAGGCAGCAGUAGGGAAUCUUCGGCAAUGGACGGAAGUCUGACCGAGCAACGCCGCGUGAGUGAAGAAGGUUUUCGGAUCGUAAAGCUCUGUUGUAAGAGAAGAACGAGUGUGAGAGUGGAAAGUUCACACUGUGACGGUAUCUUACCAGAAAGGGACGGCUAACUACGUG
Molecule: ribosomal RNA, 494 nt
Filed under: uncultured bacterium
Lineage: Bacteria
Description: partial 16S ribosomal RNA
Rfam family: Bacterial small subunit ribosomal RNA
Source: RNAcentral